UACGUAGGGUGCGAGCGUUAAUCGGAAUUACUGGGCGUAAAGCGUGCGCAGGCGGUCUGUUAAGACCGAUGGGAAAUCCCCGGGCUUAACCUGGGAACUGCAUUGGUGACUGGCAGGCUUUGAGUGUGGCAGAGGGAGGUAGAAUUCCACGUGUAGCAGUGAAAUGCGUAGAGAUGUGGAGGAAUACCGAUGGCGAAGGCAGCCUCCUGGGCCAACACUGACGCUCAUGCACGAAAGCGUGGGGAGCAAACAGG
This 254-nucleotide ribosomal RNA is filed under the name uncultured bacterium. Its description in RNAcentral is "partial 16S ribosomal RNA". It matches the Rfam family "Bacterial small subunit ribosomal RNA", at positions 524 to 776 of the family's 1533-position model. The record is from RNAcentral.